GGGNGAGUAACACGUGGGUGAUCUGCCCUGCACUUUGGGAUAAGCCUGGGAAACUGGGUCUAAUACCGAAUAGGACCGCGCUCUUCAUGGGGUGUGGUGGAAAGCUUUUGCGGUGUGGGAUGGGCCCGCGGCCUAUCAGCUUGUUGGUGGGGUAAUGGCCUACCAAGGCGACGACGGGUAGCCGGCCUGAGAGGGUGACCGGCCACACUGGGACUGAGAUACGGCCCAGACUCCUACGGGAGGCAGCAGUGGGGAAUAUUGCACAAUGGGCGCAAGCCUGAUGCAGCGACGCCGCGUGAGGGAUGACGGCCUUUCGGGUUGUAAACCUCUUUCAAUAGGGACGAAGCGCAAGUGACGGUACCUAUAGAAGAAGGACCGGCCAACUACGUGCCAGCAGCCGCGGUAAUACGUAGGGUCCGAGCGUUGUCCGGAAUUACUGGGCGUAAAGAGCUCGUAGGUGGUUUGUCGCGUUGUUCGUGAAAACUCACAGCUUAACUGUGGGCGUGCGGGCGAUACGGGCAGACUAGAGUACUGCAGGGGAGACUGGAAUUCCUGGUGUAGCGGUGGAAUGCGCAGAUAUCAGGAGGAACACCGGUGGCGAAGGCGGGUCUCUGGGCAGUAACUGACGCUGAGGAGCGAAAGCGUGGGGAGCGAACAGGAUUAGAUACCCUGGUAGUCCACGCCGUAAACGGUGGGUACUAGGUGUGGGUUUCCUUCCUUGGGAUCCGUGCCGUAGCUAACGCAUUAAGUACCCCGCCUGGGGAGUACGGCCGCAAGGCUAAAACUCAAAGGAAUUGACGGGGGCCCGCACAAGCGGCGGAGCAUGUGGAUUAAUUCGAUGCAACGCGAAGAACCUUACCUGGGUUUGACAUGCACAGGACGCCAGUAGAGAUAUUGGUUCCCUUGUGGCCUGUGUGCAGGUGGUGCAUGGCUGUCGUCAGCUCGUGUCGUGAGAUGUUGGGUUAAGUCCCGCAACGAGCGCAACCCUUGUCUCAUGUUGCCAGCACGUUAUGGUGGGGACUCGUGAGAGACUGCCGGGGUCAACUCGGAGGAAGGUGGGGAUGACGUCAAGUCAUCAUGCCCCUUAUGUCCAGGGCUUCACACAUGCUACAAUGGCCGGUACAAAGGGCUGCGAUGCCGUGAGGUGGAGCGAAUCCUUUCAAAGCCGGUCUCAGUUCGGAUCGGGGUCUGCAACUCGACCCCGUGAAGUCGGAGUCGCUAGUAAUCGCAGAUCAGCAACGCUGCGGUGAAUACGUUCCCGGGCCUUGUACACACCGCCCGUCACGUCAUGAAAGUCGGUAACACCCGAAGCCGG
This 1315-nucleotide ribosomal RNA is filed under the name Mycobacterium sp. DWMJ-1313B1. Its description in RNAcentral is "bacterial SSU rRNA". It matches the Rfam family "Bacterial small subunit ribosomal RNA", at positions 104 to 1430 of the family's 1533-position model. The record is from RNAcentral. Lineage: Bacteria; Bacillati; Actinomycetota; Actinomycetes; Mycobacteriales; Mycobacteriaceae.